UACAAAGGGUCCAAGCGUUAUCCGGAUUUAUUGGGUUUAAAGGGUGCGUAGGCGGCUUAUUAAGUCAGUGGUGAAAGCCUGUAGCUCAACUACAGAACUGCCAUUGAUACUGAUGAGCUUGAAUAUACUUGAGGUUGGCGGAAUGUGUCAUGUAGCGGUGAAAUGCUUAGAUAUGACACAGAACACCGAUUGCGAAGGCAGCUAGCUAAAGUACAAUUGACGCUGAUGCACGAAAGCGUGGGGAGCAAACAGG
RNAcentral lists this ribosomal RNA (253 nucleotides) under uncultured bacterium. Its description in RNAcentral is "partial 16S ribosomal RNA". It matches the Rfam family "Bacterial small subunit ribosomal RNA", at positions 524 to 776 of the family's 1533-position model. The record is from RNAcentral.